GGGAUUUAUUUGUUAAAGUGGC
RNAcentral lists this non-coding RNA (22 nucleotides) under Arabidopsis thaliana (thale cress). The record is from RNAcentral. Lineage: Eukaryota; Viridiplantae; Streptophyta; Magnoliopsida; Brassicales; Brassicaceae.